UACGUAGGGUGCGAGCGUUAAUCGGAAUUACUGGGCGUAAGGCGUGCGCAGGCGGUUUUUUAAUCCAGAUGUGAAAUCCCCGGGCUUAACCUGGGAACUGCAUUUGGAACUAGAAGACUAGAGUACGGCAGAGGGGGGUAGAAUUCCACGUGUAGCAGUGAAAUGCGUAGAUAUGUGGAGGAAUACCGAUGGCGAAGGCAGCCCCCUGGGUCGAUACUGACGCUCAUGCACGAAAGCGUGGGGAGCAAACAGG
This 253-nucleotide ribosomal RNA is filed under the name uncultured bacterium. RNAcentral describes it as "partial 16S ribosomal RNA". It matches the Rfam family "Bacterial small subunit ribosomal RNA", at positions 524 to 776 of the family's 1533-position model. The record is from RNAcentral.